Molecule: long non-coding RNA, 2446 nt
Organism: Mytilus californianus (California mussel)
Lineage: Eukaryota; Metazoa; Mollusca; Bivalvia; Mytilida; Mytilidae
Exons: 2
Source: RefSeq, a predicted model, not a curated record
UGGCAAAAUCAAUGACUUAUUCCAGGAAAAGAAAAACAAAAAUAGAAUAAAAGGAAAGAUCUUUGUUGCUUUUUAAUAUACUUUAAAGGCAAGAAGUUUCCUUGAAACUUUAUUUCAUUUCUAGCCAUCGAAUAAAGAGAUAAUGCACACUUGAAAAUGGGACAACGGUUUGUUCAUCUUGCAUUAAUUGUGAUCUUUAUUUUGUUCCUUGGCAUCAUAGCUUUGUUCGCACAUUUCAUGCUCGGUAAUCAUACAAAAACAAGACAAGAACGAAAGGUAAAGAAAGGACAAUCACUUCAUUUUGAACCGAUCAUCGGAGCUCCGCCAACAUUUGGUAUCCACUGGAAGUUAAAACAUACAAAUUCCUCAUCGUUUGUGGUAUACAAUUCAUCAAACGACAAAUUCAUCGUUAAACAGCAAAAUAUAUUAUCAAUUCGUCUUAAACUACACAUCAGGAAAAGUAGAAAUACUGUAAAUGAGGCAUGUCUUCAUUACAGUGAUGGAUGGGGAAAAUGUAAAACGGCUUUAUUGAAGAAAAAUACAUACGAAACUCUUCAAAUAAAGGAUAAGACAUUUUUAAUGCCAGGAUCGUAUAUCAGUGUGGACAUUUCACACCCACGUUAUAUAUCAAGGGGACAUAAACUCAAUAGUCUCGUAAUUUUGCAGUCGUUUUAUAGUGGUGUAGAAGAAGACGAUGAAAUAUAACUACCAAAGAAGUGAACCUAUUUUGAUAAUGCUUUUUGAGUAAGAUCUGGUUUUUAUAUAGUCUAUUUCUGUUAUGUAUGUUCUGGUUGCACAUUGGCUCCUUUUUGUACAUACUUGAUUAUUGAAUAUUUCCAUUCUUACAUUGUUAGAUAAAAAUUAUUGACGUGAUGUAUAUAGAAGACAUUUUCUUACCAACACAAGGCUGGAAUAUUUAAAUCUUCUCUAUUGGUUUCUAAGAUUUCAAUUACGAAAUGUUGAAAAAUGUUAGAGAGCUUGUUAUUGAAAAGCAUGACAUGUCGAAUUUUUCAUUUUUAAAAUAAGAAUAUGUAGUUUGAUACCGAAUUCCAUCUAUUGAAAAAGACUUUUAGAUGACUAGUUGAUGCACUUGUUGAUGAUGUCAUAUACUGUAGUUAGCCCAAGCUAGAAGAUUGAAAACUGAACCCUUUAUCUGAUGAAUAUAUCCAAGCUGUUCUGUUAUUCAUUCGGAAUAGCGUAAGAAACUAUAAUGUACUAUGGACACAUUAGUUUAUAAACAUUGAAGACACAUGAGGUUGAAGGUCCUAAUCCUCCGUAGCAAACAAAUAUGUAGUUGUUCCAAGAGACAAGUUAAAGCCAAAAAGAAUAACGUUUAGCAUGUCUAGUAUUCCAUUAUGAUAAAUUCGGAUUGUUUAACAAAAGUGCGUGGAAUUCACAGAAAAAAUCUUGGAAUCCAACGUGUUCACCUUCAGCGUUCAUGAUAAAGGGUUUUUUUUUUUACUUUUUGAUAUCAAUAUGAAAAAAGAACGAUAAAAAUAUCUCUUUUAUUUUUUGGAAAAUUCUUAUAAAGAACGAUAUAUAGCCGGUGUAUCUACUCUAACAUGAGCAACACGACGGGCGUCACAUGUGGAGCAGAAUCUGCUUACCAUUCCGGAGCACCUGAGAUCACCCCCAGUUUUUGGUGGGGUUCGUGUUGCUCAGUCUUUAGUUUUCUAUGUUGUGUUUUGUGUACUAUUGUUUGUCUAUUGGUCUUUUUUUUAUCCAGGGCGUUGUCAGUUUAUUUUCGACUUAUGAGUUUGAAUGUCCCUUUGGUAUCUUUCGCCUCUCUUUCAGAUCAUUCUUAUUACAGUUAAAGCUGGUCUUUAAAACUGUUGCAAUGGGGUAUAUUCAACUAGUGAUUACAAUUAAAUGAUAAUGUUAAAACAAAUCUUCAAUUACAAUAAAUAAACACUUUUGAUUAUUCUAAAUUGAACAUUACUUUACUUCAUUUUCAAUUGUACAAUCAACUACAUCGCUUCAAAACAGAUUGCCCUUUUAACAAAUGAAUGUCAUGCUUACAUUUAUGAAAAUACAACUUUGUAAAUACCAACAACGAAUAAACCGAGGGUGAUACCAUGAAAAUAUUGAAAUGUUUGAUUGACAACAUUUUUCUCGAGUUGGAUUGAUUUUGUAACAAACAGGGGAACAACACGUGGUGGUUGUUGAAUAUUUUAUUUUAUAUUUUUUUAUUGUCUAUCGAUUUAGACAUAACAGGGUCAUAUAAGGCCAGUAAAUGCCGUAUUCACAGGUAGCGUGUUUUAUUGGUUACCCGUAACUAUAUGUAGCAUGAUGAAUUGUACUUUUUAUGUUUGUAGAAAUAGAGGGAUGUACAUUGUCGAUUUCUGUAUGAUUGUUAUAAAAAAAUGUUUUAAAUGUACUGUUUGUAGACAUGUACAGGUAUGUGAGGAACUAUUACAAAAAUAUGAAAUUAAACUUUGAAAUGGUA